AUGGCGGCGGUGGCGGCGAUGCGUUGCGGGAGCGGGAGCGGGAGCGACGGCGGCGGCGGCGGCUACGACAAGGGCGGGAUGGACUCGGGCAAGUACGUGCGGUACACGCCGGAGCAGGUGGAGGCGCUGGAGCGGGUGUACGCCGAGUGCCCCAAGCCGACCUCCACGCGCAGGCAGCAGCUGCUCCGCGAGUGCCCCAUUCUGUCCAACAUCGAGCCCAGGCAGAUCAAGGUCUGGUUCCAGAACCGAAGGUGCCGUGAUAAGCAGCGGAAGGAGUCUUCGAGGCUUCAGGCCGUGAACAGAAAACUGAGCGCCAUGAACAAGCUCCUCAUGGAAGAGAAUGAGCGUCUCCAGAAGCAGGUCUCCCAGUUGGUUCAUGAGAAUGCAUACAUGAAGCAGCAGCUGCAGAAUCCUUCGUUGGCCAAUGAUACAAGUUGUGAGUCAAAUGUGACCACUCCAAACCCUCUAAGGGAUGCAAGUAACCCAGCUGGACUCCUUGCAAUUGCGGAGGAGACAUUGACAGAGUUCCUCUCAAAGGCUACAGGAACUGCUGUUGAUUGGGUCCCGAUGCCUGGGAUGAAGCCUGGUCCGGAUUCGUUUGGUAUUGUUGCCGUUUCACAUGGUUGCCGAGGUGUCGCUGCCCGUGCCUGUGGUCUGGUGAAUCUAGAACCAACAAAGAUUGUGGAGAUCUUGAAAGACCGCCCAUCUUGGUUCCGUGAUUGUCGGAGUCUUGAAGUUUUUACGAUGCUUCCAGCUGGAAACGGUGGGACCAUUGAACUUGUUUACAUGCAGAUGUAUGCUCCUACCACUUUAGUUCCUGCACGUGAUUUUUGGACGCUGAGAUACACAACUACAAUGGAAGAUGGGAGUCUUGUGGUUUGUGAGAGAUCUUUGAGUGGUUCAGGAGGUGGUCCAAGUACUGCCUCAGCACAGCAAUUUGUAAGGGCAGAGAUGCUUCCUAGUGGCUAUUUAGUUCGGCCAUGCGACGGCGGGGGUUCAAUUGUGCAUAUAGUGGAUCAUCUGGACCUUGAGGCUUGGAGUGUUCCAGAAGUGCUUCGCCCGCUCUAUGAGUCUUCUAGGGUAGUUGCUCAGAAAAUGACUACUGCGGCAUUACGACACAUCAGACAGAUUGCUCAAGAAACUAGUGGGGAGGUUGUAUAUGCUCUAGGGAGGCAACCUGCUGUUCUGCGGACAUUUAGUCAGAGGCUGAGUAGAGGAUUUAAUGAUGCUAUAAGUGGCUUCAAUGAUGAUGGUUGGUCUGUAAUGGCUGGAGACGGCAUUGAAGAUGUGAUUAUUGCUUGCAACUCAAAAAAGAUUAGAAGCAAUAACACUGCUCCCAAUGCGUUUAUAGCUCCUGGAGGUGUUAUAUGUGCUAAAGCAUCAAUGUUACUGCAGAGUGUUCCACCAGCAGUACUGGUUCGGUUUCUGAGGGAACAUCGGUCUGAAUGGGCUGAUUAUAACUUUGAUGCAUAUUCGGCUUCAGCGCUGAAAUCAAGCUCAUGCUCACUUCCUGGGUUGCGUCCCAUGAGAUUUUCUGGGAGCCAGAUCAUCAUGCCACUUGCUCACACAGUGGAGAAUGAGGAGAUUCUAGAAGUUGUUCGUCUUGAAGGGCAAGCGCUCGAUGAGGGUCUUUUAUCAAGAGAUAUCCACCUGCUUCAGUUUUGCACUGGACUAGACGAGAAAUCAAUGGGAUCCUGCUUCCAACUUGUCUUUGCACCAAUUGAUGAGCUUUUCCCUGAUGAUGCUCCAUUAAUAUCUUCAGGCUUUCGUGUUAUACCACUGGACAUGAAAACAGAUGGUGCACCCGCCGGUAGAACACUAGAUUUGGCCUCUAGCCUUGAAGCUGGUUCAACUACACUGCAAGCCUCAGGCGGUGCGGAUGAUUGUAAUCUACGAUCAGUGCUGACAAUUGCCUUUCAAUUCCCUUACGAGAUGCAUCUCCAAGAUAGUGUUGCAACUAUGGCCCGGCAGUAUGUCCGCAGCAUUGUCUCCGCCGUUCAGAGAGUGUCGAUGGCUAUCUCUCCCUCUCGAUCUGGCUUGAAUGCUGAACAUAAGAUAAUUUCUGGCUUCCCUGAAGCUGCAACACUAGCUCGCUGGAUAUGCCAAAGUUACCGGUUCCAUCUGGGGGUCGAGUUAUUUAGACAGGCAGAUGAAGCUGGGGAAUCUUUAUUGAGAAUGCUUUGGGAUCAUGAAGAUGCUAUUUUGUGCUGUUCUUUCAAGGAAAAGCCUGUAUUUACGUUUGCAAACGAGAUGGGAAUUAACAUGUUGGAAACAUCUUUCGUUGCCCUUCAAGAUCUCUCGUUGGACAAGAUAUUUGAUGAAGCUGGUAGAAAGGCACUAUACUCCGAGAUCCCAAAGUUGAUGGAGCAGGGCUUUGUUUACCUGCCAGGUGGUGUGUGCUUGUCUGGGAUGGGCCGCCAUGUCUCAUUUGAGAAUGCUGUAGCAUGGAAAGUAGUUGGUGAGGACAACAACGUGCACUGCCUCGCCUUCUGCUUCGUCAACUGGUCUUUCGUGUGA
This 2517-nucleotide ribosomal RNA is filed under the name Triticum aestivum (bread wheat). RNAcentral's name for it is "partial small subunit ribosomal RNA". The record is from RNAcentral. Lineage: Eukaryota; Viridiplantae; Streptophyta; Magnoliopsida; Poales; Poaceae.